GCUUACGGCCACACCGGCCUGAGUACGCCUGAUCUCAGUCCGAUCUCGGAAGCUAAGCAGGGUCGGUGCCUGGUUUAGUACUGGAUGGGAGACCGCCUGGGAAUACCAGGUGCUGUAAGCU
Molecule: ribosomal RNA, 121 nt
Filed under: Oncorhynchus mykiss (rainbow trout)
Lineage: Eukaryota; Metazoa; Chordata; Actinopteri; Salmoniformes; Salmonidae
Source: RNAcentral